This is a regulatory RNA element of Anopheles gambiae str. PEST, 46 nucleotides long. It matches the Rfam family "Histone 3' UTR stem-loop". From Rfam's summary of the family: The mRNAs of metazoan histone genes lack a poly-A tail. 3' end processing occurs at a site between a highly conserved stem-loop (modelled by this family) and a purine rich region around 20 nts downstream (the histone downstream element, or HDE). The record is from Rfam. NCBI's taxonomy places the organism in Eukaryota, Metazoa, Arthropoda, Insecta, Diptera, Culicidae.
CAAACGGCUCUUUUCAGAGCCACCGCUUCAGUUAUUAAGAACAUCU